GAGGAUAUAGCUCAAUGGAUGAGCACUUGCCUAGUAUGACUUAGGCCCUGGGUUCACUCCCCAGUACUCUCC
This 72-nucleotide transfer RNA is filed under the name Heterocephalus glaber (naked mole-rat). It matches the Rfam family "tRNA". Rfam says of the family: Transfer RNA (tRNA) molecules are approximately 80 nucleotides in length. Their secondary structure includes four short double-helical elements and three loops (D, anti-codon, and T loops). Further hydrogen bonds mediate the characteristic L-shaped molecular structure. tRNAs have two regions of fundamental functional importance: the anti-codon, which is responsible for specific mRNA codon recognition, and the 3' end, to which the tRNAs corresponding amino acid is attached (by aminoacyl-tRNA synthetases). tRNAs cope with the degeneracy of the genetic code in two manners: having more than one tRNA (with a specific anti-codon) for a particular amino acid; and 'wobble' base-pairing, i.e. permitting non-standard base-pairing at the 3rd anti-codon position. Lineage: Eukaryota; Metazoa; Chordata; Mammalia; Rodentia; Bathyergidae. The record is from Rfam by way of RNAcentral.